UAAAACCCCAAUGCUCCAGUCUAGUCUCCGGUCUAGUCUCCAAGCACGUCAUCUCUUGUCAAGGGUUGUGUCGUGUCGCUUAAAUGCGGUGCGGUGUGCUACGCUGCUCUUCCAUCUAGGCCAUGGCUUGAACUUCCUACACGCUGCUAGCGUUCUUGCCAUCCAGAACUCAAAACCACUCCGUUGAAACUUCACGUCAGCGAAACCAUGCUUGCUCGCCCCUUUUCAACCCCGGCUCCUAGCCAUCAGUGUGCUUGCAAGUCAUAAAGAACUUCAACUUUCCGUGACAGAAUCUUCAAAGCUCACGCCGCGCAAACGAGAGGACUCGGAAGAAACUUUGUCCACCGUCAAGGCAAGAGCUGUUGAAUCUCUCAAAAUCACCAGGCAAUCAACCAACCAAUCAAGGCAAAGGGCUUCCCCAGACGUCAUCUACGCAACCGCGAAUCCCAGCCGGAAUUCCCCUUUCAGUUCAACGCGAGCCAAGGAGACGAAACGACACUGCGGCCAGCAGCACAACCACAAUCAUGCCGCGGUGCACCACUCGCAUCCGAGAAAGGCACAAAAACCAGCGGAGCAAUGCCACGGGUUUCGCUCGGGGAUGAAUCCGCGAGAGUGGAAGAGUUCUGCAGAACAUCUGCGGUUUGUAUCGAUGCACCUUAUGAGAGCAUAAGACCAAGGAUUUACACAAGCUCCAGUCUGGAUCCAGAACACCUGAGAAGAGAUGAUGCUGACCCUCAGAGAACCUCAGAUGAUGCUAACCCUGAAUCAACCAACAGAACUAACAAUUAUUGCUACAUGUGUGACUGCAUCAUAUAACAAUUAUUAAUUAAUAAUAUUAAUAAUGUUCAUCUUCUAGCUGACUACGUCUUGUAUUAAUUUUUUCUAAAAAUCCUGUCAAACGUGCACAAACUGACAGUCACUACCAUAAGCUACUACUAAAUAUUGUUGAAACAUUAUUUUCUGUAAAGUUGCUUUGUAACGAUUCGUAUUGUAA
This is a long non-coding RNA of Carassius gibelio (silver crucian carp), 994 nucleotides long. RefSeq lists it as uncharacterized. The transcript has 3 exons. NCBI's taxonomy places the organism in Eukaryota, Metazoa, Chordata, Actinopteri, Cypriniformes, Cyprinidae. The record is from RefSeq and is a predicted model, not a curated record.